CGAACGCUGGCGGCAGGCUUAACACAUGCAAGUCGAGCGAGAUCUUCGGAUCUAGCGGCGGACGGGUGAGUAACGCGUGGGAACGUGCCCUUUGCUACGGAAUAGUCCCGGGAAACUGGGUUUAAUACCGUAUACGCCCUUCGGGGGAAAGAUUUAUCGGCAAAGGAUCGGCCCGCGUUGGAUUAGGUAGUUGGUGGGGUAAUGGCCUACCAAGCCGACGAUCCAUAGCUGGUUUGAGAGGAUGAUCAGCCACACUGGGACUGAGACACGGCCCAGACUCCUACGGGAGGCAGCAGUGGGGAAUUCUUAGACAAUGGGGGCAAACCCUGAUUCU
Molecule: ribosomal RNA, 334 nt
Filed under: Paracoccus sp. oral taxon H67
Lineage: Bacteria; Pseudomonadati; Pseudomonadota; Alphaproteobacteria; Rhodobacterales; Paracoccaceae
Description: bacterial SSU rRNA
Rfam family: Bacterial small subunit ribosomal RNA
Source: RNAcentral